This is a long non-coding RNA of Monodelphis domestica (gray short-tailed opossum), 1354 nucleotides long. RefSeq lists it as uncharacterized. The record is from RefSeq and is a predicted model, not a curated record. NCBI's taxonomy places the organism in Eukaryota, Metazoa, Chordata, Mammalia, Didelphimorphia, Didelphidae.
GACAAGCGAGGCCCAUAGCCUUCCCAGGACCUUAUUGCUCUUUGCGGGCUUCGGGGAACCUCUGGUAGCCAUUUUCUCAGUUGGUUUUGGUUUUUAUCAAGAACGCAAACUAAAUACUUGAGAAUGAUGGGUCCUCCCUGGCUCUCCUACUCUGCUUUGCAUCCCUCUAGCCUCCUCCUGCCUAGCUCCCAAUCCGUGGGAAGAAAAAGCGCAGGUACCCAAAGCGACCGGGCAGGGGGCAUCCGGCGUGCCGCUCCCGCAGUCCCUGCCUCCCCCCUCCCAUUCCCCUUUGGCCCCUCUGCGCUCGGCCUGCUGAAGCGGUCAGGCAGGGGCAUUCAGGGUUCGCCUUUCGCUGCCCCCGCAGCAGCCGACUGCGUGUCGGGGCCGGGCUUUUGCCGCAGUGUAUGUACGCCCGGGCAGCCAAAGGCUAAGGACGGACAAGCAGGCUGGCGUACCCACCAACCCGCCGGGCCAGGGCCAGCCUGCUUGUGCUGUCACUUUAAAUCUCCCACCCGCACGCCCCCUCCCCAUCCCCGCAUGGGCAUUCCCCACGUGCGUCUGUGGGUGCGGGCUCGCCGGACCGGGGUAGGCGUGUAGCAAUGGGGACGGUGUCGGGGGGGGGGGGACUGCCCUCUAUCCCCCUCUCCCGCGGCCCCCCGAACCGCCGCUCCCCCCACCCCCAGCCUCGCUGCAGUCGGAGGAGAACUAAAGCGCGAACAAAGCUCGAGUGCGCGCCAGUCACGUCCCAGGGCGGCAGCAGCCGAUGCGGGGCUCCGCUCACUGCCCAGCCACACAAAGGCCGCCGGCCGCUUGCUGGCCACAGGCUGGCUUAGUCAGUGGUCUGCUUUAAGCCCGGAGAAGGCGCACUUUAGGUACAGCCAGGCUAAAGCUCUGCUUGGCCAGGGCGCACGCCUGUGGAGAGGAGCCUGCGGCCACUGCCAGUUCUAGGGGAAGGACGUUCGGGAAAGACAUUCGCCGGGAAACGUCUGAAAGAAUCAGGAAUAUGAAGAAACCUGGAAAGACCUUUAUGAAAUAGCACAAGAGGAACCAAGCAGAGUCAGAAGAACAGAGCGUAUACUCCCUUUCACUGUGGAGACAGAGAAGUGAAUGAGAAUGAAGGGACAAGCAAAGAAUGUUGAGGAUGCUUUAAGAGAAGGGGCUUCCUCACACUGGGGGUGUCAUGGACUCUUCUGGCCAUCGGUGUACCCUAUAGACCUGUCCUCAGAAUCAUAUUUUUAGUUGCAUUAAAUAAAAUACAUAGGAUCCCAAAGGAAACCCAUAGGUGACAUAUUAUCAUAUGUUCUAUAUGCAUGUAAUAUAGAAUAAUGUAUAAAAAUAAAUAGUAACUAAAAUA